RNAcentral lists this transfer RNA (61 nucleotides) under Hypsathalia przewalskyi. RNAcentral's name for it is "tRNA-Tyr". The record is from RNAcentral. Lineage: Eukaryota; Metazoa; Arthropoda; Insecta; Hymenoptera; Athaliidae.
UGGCUGAAGUUUUAAGCGAUAAAUUGUAAAUUUAUUUAUAGAAAAUUAUUUCUUUUUAUUA